This is a non-coding RNA of Caenorhabditis elegans, 121 nucleotides long. The record is from Ensembl. Lineage: Eukaryota; Metazoa; Nematoda; Chromadorea; Rhabditida; Rhabditidae.
UUGUUAACAGAAGAAGCUGUGUUGCUCCCUCCGAAUUUCUUUUUGCUCCUCCUCCCAUCUUCUUCCUCUUGUCGUCGAAAGUCCGUUUAAUUCUAUGCAAAUGUACGGCAGCAGAAGAUGU